AACUGUGGUAAUUCUAGAGCUAAUACAUGCUAAAAACCCCAACUUCGGGAGGGGUGUAUUUAUUAGAUAAAAAACCAAUGCCCUUCGGGGCUCCUUGGUGAUUCAUGAUAACUAAACGAAUCGCAUGGCCUUGCGCCGGCGAUGGUUCAUUCAAAUUUCUGCCCUAUCAACUUUCGAUGGUAAGGUAGUGGCUUACCAUGGUUUCAACGGGUAACGGGGAAUUAGGGUUCUAUUCCGGAGAGGGAGCCUGAGAAACGGCUACCACAUCCAAGGAAGGCAGCAGGCGCGCAAAUUACCCAAUCCCAAUACGGGGAGGUAGUGACAAUAAAUACUGAUACGGGGCUCUUUCGGGUCUCGUAAUUGGAAUGAGUACAAUCUAAAUCCCUUAACGAGGAACAAUUGGAGGGCAAGUCUGGUGCCAGCAGCCGCGGUAAUUCCAGCUCCAAUAGCGUAUAUUAAAGUUGUUGCCGUUAAAAAGCUCGUAGUUGAACCUUGGACCUGGCUGAUCUGUCCUCCUAAUCGAGCGUACGGAUUCGGUCGGGUCUUUCCUUCUGGGGAACCCUAUGUCCUUUAUUGGGUGUAGCGGGGAACCAGGACUUUUACCUUGAAAAAAUUAGAGUGUUCAAAGCAGGCCUUUGCUCGAAUACAUUAGCAUGGAAUAAUAGAAUAGGACAUCGGUUCUAUUUUGUUGGUUUCUAGGACCGCUGUAAUGAUUAAUAGGGAUAGUCGGGGGCGUCCGUAUUCAAUUGUCAGAGGUGAAAUUCUUGGAUUUAUUGAAGACGAACUACUGCGAAAGCAUUCGCCAAGGAUGUUUUCAUUAAUCAGUGAACGAAAGUUAGGGGAUCGAAGACGAUCAGAUACCGUCGUAGUCUUAACCAUAAACUAUGCCGACUAGGGAUCGGACGGUGGUUUUUUUAUGCCCCGUUCGGCACCUUA
This 936-nucleotide ribosomal RNA is filed under the name Cyphellophora filicis. RNAcentral's name for it is "SSU rRNA". It matches the Rfam family "Eukaryotic small subunit ribosomal RNA", at positions 145 to 1090 of the family's 1831-position model. The record is from RNAcentral. Lineage: Eukaryota; Fungi; Ascomycota; Eurotiomycetes; Chaetothyriales; Cyphellophoraceae.